RNAcentral lists this ribosomal RNA (252 nucleotides) under uncultured bacterium. Its description in RNAcentral is "partial 16S ribosomal RNA". It matches the Rfam family "Bacterial small subunit ribosomal RNA", at positions 525 to 776 of the family's 1533-position model. The record is from RNAcentral.
ACGUAGGGUGCGAGCGUUAAUCGGAAUUACUGGGCGUAAAGCGAGCGCAGACGGUUAUAUAAGUCAGAUGUGAAAUCCCCGAGCUUAACUUGGGAAGGGCAUUUGAAACUGUGUGACUAGAGUGUGUCAGAGGGAGGUAGAACUCCACGUGUAGCAGUGAAAUGCGUAGAGAUGUGGAAGAAUACCGAUGGCGAAGGCAGCCUCCUGGGAUAACACUGACGUUCAUGCUCGAAAGCGUGGGUAGCAAACAGG